Molecule: long non-coding RNA, 617 nt
Organism: Corvus hawaiiensis (hawaiian crow)
Lineage: Eukaryota; Metazoa; Chordata; Aves; Passeriformes; Corvidae
Exons: 3
Source: RefSeq, a predicted model, not a curated record
AUACCUACUUUACAAAGAUUCACGCCCUAUUCCCACGGGACAGCCUCUAAGCGGCGGGGGAGCCGACCAGUGUGUAACUUUGCCCAAGGCUGUUCAAGGCUGCCGGCUGUCAGGUGUCUUGGCAAGCCUGUCUGCAGCCUGAGGCCCCUUCAGGGCUUCUUCCGCAGCAGCCCGGGGUUGCCCAGAGUCUCCUGGGGGAUCAUAUGCCCCUGUUCCACAAGGAAUCCCUCUACACCUAGCAACAAUGUAUCAAUGAUUGAAUAAACUUCAUCUGACUGGACCUGGAAGAAGCCUGAAGCUCAGAAUACAUGUAGCUCCUGCACUUGGCUGCUUGAUUGCUGUUAAAAAGACUAAAUAAAAAAAAUCCUAUUGUUUGAGAUCAUUAAGGGAAAGGAGGAAUUUUAAUCCAUUAAGUAUUUUAACUAGUUCAUUGGAGGAUGACGACUAUAUCCAAAGUGAUGUGAUCAGGCUACCCUUAUUUAGACUUGGCAAAAGCUACUGAAGAUUAACAAAAUAAUCACUGGUAAAUAUUGUAAUGAUGAGUUGCACUGGUGGAAGAAAAUAAACAUAUGGUGCCCUUUUUUUUUUUUUUGUUAAUUAUUUAUAUGGAAGCAGUA